UGACGGAGAGUUUGAUCCUGGCUCAGGGCGAACGCUGGCGGCGUGCCUUAGACAUGCAAGUCGAGCGGUAGGCGUCCUUCGGGGCGCCGAGAGCGGCGAACGGCGGAGUAACACGUGGGUAACCUGCCCCGAAGACCGGGACAACCCUGGGAAACUGGGGCUAAUACCGGAUGUGGAUACGCUGGCUUCGGCUGGCGUAUCUAAAGGGAGCAAUCCGCUUCGGGAUGGGCCCGCGGCCUAUCAGGUAGUUGGUGAGGUAAUGGCUCACCAAGCCUGCGACGGGUAGCCGGUCUGAGAGGAUGAUCGGCCCGAGGGGCACUGAGACACGGGCCCCACUCCUACGGGAGGCAGCAGUCGGGAAUUGUGGGCAAUGGGCGAAAGCCUGACCGCGCGACGCCGCGUGCGGGAAGAAGCUCGAAAGAGUGUAAACCGCUGUGGUAGGGGAGGAAGUCCCGAUUUAGUCGGGGUUGACCGUACCUUACUAGAAAGGGGCCGCUAACUGCGUGCCAGAAGCGUCGGUAAUACGUGGGCCCCAAACGUUAUCCGGUUUUACUGGGUGUAAAAGGUCGCGUAGGCGUUCUGUUAAGUUUCAUCUUAAAGCCUACAACUCAAUUGUAGGAUUGGGUGAAAAACUGGCAGAAUUGAGUAGUCUUAAGGGAGACUGGAACUUAGGGAGGAGUAGUGAAAUGCGUUGAUACCCUAGGGAACACCGGUGGCGAAGGCGAGUCUCUGGAAGACUACUGACGCUGAGGCACGAAAGCUAGGGGAGCGAAGCAGAUUAGAGACCUGCGUAGUCCUAGCCGUAAACGCAUGCUUGCUAGCUGCAUUUCCUAACUUUUAGUUAGGGAGUGUGGCGAAGGUAACCCGUUAAGCAAGCUACCUGGGGAGUACGACCGCAAGGUUAAAACUCAAAGGAAUUGGCGGGGAGGCACACAACCAGUGGAACAUGUGGUUCAAUUCGAAACGAACCGAAGAACCUUACCAGGGCUUGACAUCUUGGCGUUCUACCCUAAAGAAAUUUAGGGAAUCCGCAAGGAGGCCGGGACAGGUGCUGCAUGGCUGUCGUCAGCUCGUUCCGUGAGGAGUGCCCUUAAGUGGGACAACGAGCGCAACCCCUGCUCUGUGUUAAAUCUGUCACAGAGGACCGCCCCGACGUUACGUCGGGGAGGAAGGAAGGGCAGACGUCAAGUCAGCAUGGUCCUUAUGCCCUGGGCUACACACAUGUUACAAUG
Molecule: ribosomal RNA, 1232 nt
Filed under: Armatimonadota bacterium
Lineage: Bacteria; Bacillati; Armatimonadota
Description: bacterial SSU rRNA
Rfam family: Bacterial small subunit ribosomal RNA
Source: RNAcentral